CAUUGCAGAUAGCUUAGUUUUGAUUAGGCCUUGGUAUACACAUGAAAAGUCACAUAUAAUAUGUUAAAUCUUAUAAAUACAAUCUUUAAAGAAUCAGCAAAAAUAGGUCACUUCCUGAUUGAGAAUGAGGCAGAAGCUGCUGCUUAAAUUUCCAACAAUUCAAGCUACAUAUUAUAGAAGACCAUCAACAUCAGGCUAUGGCAAAAUUUCUGUCAGUUGUCAGAUAAUGAAUGUGAACAGAUUUUUAAAAUUCUGAUUCUGUAGAAAAAAUAACAUGAGGAAAAAAAGUUUGAAAUAUUUCACUUGAAGCUUGUCUUAACCUGAAGGUUUGUGCUGAAAAGUCUGCUGUGAUUCUAACAGACUUUCCUUGGGUUGGAAUCAAAUUUAACAGUCUGGAUGUUUGCAAGAGAGAAGCGGGGAAUGACAACUAAGAACGCCUGUCAGCAAAAGUUCACUUAAAUCUUGAAAAAUGUGGGGAUACCUUUCUGGUGCAGUGAAAACAUGCCAGACCUCACAAGGUGCCUGCCUUAAAACAACUUUCUUGUGCUGAAAAAUGUGCAAAGUUUUAGUAAUGUCUUUAAUUAUUUUUUAAAAUCUGAUUUCUUAUUCUCUUACAAGAAUGUAAUUGAAACUGCAAUUAAAAAUAUAGUGUGUUUAAAUUUUUAAAAAUUGUUACACUAAAAGACAGGUUACAAUUGCAAUUAAUUUUCCUCAAACUACACCCUGCUGCUUCAAACACACUUGUUCCAUCAUUCUUGCCACUGUCUGAGGCGGAUCUGGAAGUGCUUUUUUUGUUUGUUGUGCUGCCUUGACUGUCUGUAUAGGUACCCAACCCAUUCACAAUGUUUACCUUUCACAUUCAUUUUGACUUUGGUGAAGAGCUAAAUGUCACAAGAGGGACAAUAAUAGCAAUGCAAUAGAUAUUUACAUUCAAAUAUUUACCGUGUUUUUAAUUCACCCCAAGAAAAAAAUUCAAGGUAAAGAGGAGCUACAAUGUAUCAUCAAGUUUUCUUUCUUAGGGAUUUCCUCCAUAUUUUCCAUGAAAUCAGUGUAACAGGUAAUGCCUAACUGAUUUAGAAAGGAAAAUCUGCCUUCCACUUUUUAAUUUUAUAGCAGAUGAUACAUUUUUCCAAAAUUAAAAAUUCUUGUAAAGUUCUUGUUACCUUACAAGAAUAUCUUAAAUUAAAAUACUGUAAUAUUUUGACAGUCAAGUAUGAUAGUCUUCUGUGUAGAAUAUGUUCUUUCUAUUAUUGUUUUAAGUCUGCAUUGUUAUUCGCACACAAUUGAAACUGAUGUGCUUUAAUAAUUCUAAGCACUGUUCUUCUACAUUCGAUUUAAACUUACACAUAUACUCUCAUGUACCUCAUAACCAUUUUUUACUCAAUGACAGACCACAUAUACAAUGAUAUAUAACACAUAGACCAGAUGUUGAGUAGGCUAUAAGAUCUCCGUUUGUGCAAAUACACUAGAUGAUAGUCUCAUAUUGGUGACAUCACCUGUUCAUGCAUUUCUCAGAACAUAUUUUGUUAUUAUGCAGUGCGUAUAUAAUUAUGAUAUAAUUAAAAUUUCUUUGCCAUGUUACUUUCUCAUAAAAAGACUUUAAAUGGAAGAAUAUAAAGGUUAGAAAUUUGCUUUGCUCAUUAAUGGAUGGAUGUAAUCAACACAUUACUUUAGUGAUACCCAUGGAAUUAUUACAUUCAUCUCUUCACCAAACAGCAAAUGAUCAUUUAAUGUUAUAUGGAAUCCAAUACUUAUUUAUUUAUUUAGAACAUCAUAAAGUAAGAAGUAUUUUGAUACUAUAAAAAUAUCAUUGCAAAAUAUCUUCAAAAUAAAAAUUUUGAAGAAAUUAGAUAGAAGUUUGGUUGUCUAGAUAGAAUCAGAAUUUUUAAAAUUUUAGGUUUACUUGUACAAGCCUUUAAUGAAUCACAACAUAUCUAAUUCCAUGUUCAUAAUCAUAUGUUCCACUGAACAUAUUAUGUGGAAUAUAAUACUGAUAAGAUUAUACUGAAUGAUCAUUCUAUUUAUGACUGAGGAUAAAGAAUUCAGUUUAAAACUUCAUGUCUUCUUUCCUAUUUAUGUGAUGAAUAUGUGCUUUGAAUUAAAUAAAUCGUACUUCUGCUGGGUAAAUGUACCCAAUA
Cavia porcellus (domestic guinea pig) is the source of this 2138-nucleotide long non-coding RNA. RefSeq lists it as uncharacterized. The transcript has 3 exons. Lineage: Eukaryota; Metazoa; Chordata; Mammalia; Rodentia; Caviidae. The record is from RefSeq and is a predicted model, not a curated record.